Molecule: unclassified non-coding RNA, 343 nt
Filed under: soil metagenome
Description: partial contains 5.8S ribosomal RNA, internal transcribed spacer 2, and large subunit ribosomal RNA
Rfam family: 5.8S ribosomal RNA (bases 1-120)
Source: RNAcentral
GAUGAAGAACGUAGCGAAAUGCGAUAAGUAAUGUGAAUUGCAGAAUUCAGUGAAUCAUCGAAUCUUUGAACGCACAUUGCGCCCGCUAGUAUUCUGGCGGGCAUGCCUGUCCGAGCGUCAUUUCAACCCUCAAGCCCCCGGGCUUGGUGUUGGGGAUCGGCGAGCCUCCGCGCCCGCCGUCCCCUAAAUCUAGUGGCGGUCUCGCUGUAGCUUCCUCUGCGUAGUAGCACACCUCGCACUGGGAAACAGCGCGGCCACGCCGUUAAACCCCCUACUUCUGAACGUUUGACCUCGGAUCAGGUAGGAAUACCCGCUGAACUUAAGCAUAUCAAUAAGCGGAGGA